Molecule: non-coding RNA, 1361 nt
Organism: Callithrix jacchus (white-tufted-ear marmoset)
Lineage: Eukaryota; Metazoa; Chordata; Mammalia; Primates; Cebidae
Source: RefSeq, a predicted model, not a curated record
AAUGCAAAAGUAAAUAAAAUAGAGUUAUUACCUAAUGAAUAUAGUCAAUAGGAUAAAUGCAUACAUGUUUUUAUUUAACCUGACCAGCAUUCUCGGUUUUCAAGGGAAAUCUUUCAAAAAUAAUGUUCGUUCUAUUAUUAAUGGAACUAGAGGAAGCACCCCUAAAAAAAUGAAGGCAGCUAAAAAAGUACACAUAAGACAGUGUCUCAGUCCAUUCAGGCUGCUAAAACAAACACAAUAGACUGGGAAGUUAACUUAUAAGCAACAGAAAACUAUUUCUCACAGUUCUGGAGGGUGCAAAGUCCAAGAUCAAGUAGAUUUGGCAUCUGGUGAGGGUCUGUUCUGGGAUGGAACUUUCCCACUGUGUCCUCACAGUGGAAGGGUGAAGGCAACUCUCUAGGGCCUCUUUCAUAAGAACACUAAUCCCAUUUAUGAGAGCUCCAUCCUCAUAACUUAAUCACUUCUGGAAUGUCCUACCUCUUAAUACCACUGCAUUGGUGAUUAGGUUUAGACAUAUAAAUUAUGAGUGUACAUAAACAUUCAGAGCAGUACAGACAGGGUUUUUAAGAGUAUCUAAGAAUAAGGGUUUGAACCCCUGAUUGUUUACAGUGAGUGAAUCAGUCAUUUGACAUUCAUCUUAAUUAAAACUUCUUCUCUGUUCAUUGCUCCUUUUGUACAUCUCCUCAUCUUCUCUUCCAAGAGCCAUCUGCCUAAUCAAGUUGGCCUGCCCAGAGAGGAGGAAUCCAGAGAGGCAGUCCAACUAUAGCCACUUUGCAGAGCUGACGUGGGCUCCACAGCUUUGAAAGUCCUGGCAGCUUUGCUUAUACUGUGAGGGAAAAACUGCCUACGCAAGCUUCAGUAAUGUUCAAACAUAGUUUUCACGAAGAAAUCGUGACCAAACUUCACCAAUGCUCAUGCUAUAAUAACUGUACAUCUGAUUUGAACUCAGCUCCAAAGAAGACAACAUUCACAUGGCUUUAAUAUGCACGGAGAAGAAAAAGCAUCCAGAACAAUGGGCGAGAAGAAAUAAAAACUUGUUGUCUAAAUCAAAGGAUUGGUAUUCUCCAAAUCGUUGCUACCACAUUGAGCCAUUUUCUCUGAUGUUGUCUCUACAAAGCAAAGUGAAAUGGACAGUUUUCCAGCUAAUUUGUUUUGUAUGGACCGCCAAGCUGGACACUUGCAGACCACAAAGUCUGUGAAUGAGAACCUGGGAGCUGGCAUGAGAAGAACUGAGCUGGAGCAUUUCGCCAUCACUGAAUAAAUAACUUACCCUCUUGAAUUCUUCCCUGUACAACUGGAGUAAGACACCACCCUGGCUUUUACACAGUUUGUGAGCUAAUAAGAUAAUGCUUAUGUACCUG